This 520-nucleotide ribosomal RNA is filed under the name uncultured Glomus. Its description in RNAcentral is "SSU rRNA". It matches the Rfam family "Eukaryotic small subunit ribosomal RNA", at positions 569 to 1086 of the family's 1831-position model. Lineage: Eukaryota; Fungi; Glomeromycota; Glomeromycetes; Glomerales; Glomeraceae. The record is from RNAcentral.
AGCAGCCGCGGUAAUUCCAGCUCCAAUAGCGUAUAUUAAAGUUGUUGCAGUUAAAAAAGACUCGUAGUUGAAUUUCGGGAUCAAUACGCCUGUCGUGCCUUCGGUACGUACGGGUGUAAUUGGUCUCUACCUUCUGAGGAUCCUUGAUGUCAUUAAUUUGGUGUCUUGGGGAAUCAGGACUGUUACCUUGAAAAAAAUUAGAGUGUUUAAAGCAGGCAUACGCUUGAAUACAUUAGCAUGGAAUAAUGAAAUAGGACGUUCGAUUCUAUUUUGUUGGUUUUCUAGGAUCGACGUAAUGAUUAAUAGGGAUAGUUGGGGGCAUUAGUAUUCAAUUGUCAGAGGUGAAAUUCUUGGAUUUAUUGAAGACUAACUACUGCGAAAGCAUUUGCCAAGGAUGUUUUCAUUAAUCAAGAACGAAAGUUAGGGGAUCGAAGACGAUCAGAUACCGUCGUAGUCUUAACCAUAAACUAUGCCGACUAGGGAUCGGAUGAUGUUGAUUUUUUAAUGACUCAUUCGGCGC